UCAAGGAGUAGUUUAGUUAGAAUUUCAGCUUUGGGUGCUGAGGGCAGGGUUUGUAUUCUCUCUCCUUG
This 68-nucleotide transfer RNA is filed under the name Rhinophylla pumilio. Its description in RNAcentral is "transfer RNA-Pro". Lineage: Eukaryota; Metazoa; Chordata; Mammalia; Chiroptera; Phyllostomidae. The record is from RNAcentral.